CCUACGGGUGGCAGCAGUGGGGAAUAUUGGGCAAUGGGCGCAAGCCUGACCCAGCAACGCCGCGUGAAGGAAGAAGGCUUUCGGGUUGUAAACUUCUUUUAGCAGGGAAGAGCAGAAGACGGUACCUCUUGAAUAAGCCACGGCUAACUACGUGCCAGCAGCCGCGGUAAUACGUAGGUGGCAAGCGUUGUCCGGAUUUACUGGGUGUAAAGGGCGUGGAGCCGGGAAGACAAGUCAGAGGUGAAAUCCUGCGGCUUAACCGCGGAACUGCGUUUGAAACUGUUGAUCUUGAGUACUGGAGAGGCAAGCGGAAUGCCUAGUGUAGCGGUGAAAUGCGUAGAUAUUAGGAAGAACACCAGUGGCGAAGGCGGAUUACUGGACGGCAACUGACGGUGAGGCGCGAAAGCGUGGGGAGCAAACAGGAUUAGAUACCCGUGUAGUC
This 442-nucleotide ribosomal RNA is filed under the name uncultured bacterium. Its description in RNAcentral is "partial 16S ribosomal RNA". It matches the Rfam family "Bacterial small subunit ribosomal RNA", at positions 338 to 795 of the family's 1533-position model. The record is from RNAcentral.